RNAcentral lists this ribosomal RNA (497 nucleotides) under uncultured bacterium. RNAcentral's name for it is "partial 16S ribosomal RNA". It matches the Rfam family "Bacterial small subunit ribosomal RNA", at positions 28 to 507 of the family's 1533-position model. The record is from RNAcentral.
GAUGAACGCUGGCGGCGUGCCUAAUACAUGCAAGUCGAGCGAACAGACUAGGAGCUUGCUCCUCUGACGUUAGCGGCGGACGGGUGAGUAACACGUGGAUAACCUCCCUAUAAGACUGGGAUAACUUCGGGAAACCGGAGCUAAUACCGGAUAAUAUCUUGAACCGCAUGGUUCAAUAGUGAAAGACGGUUUUGCUGUCACUUAUAGAUGGAUCGCCGCGGCAUUAGCUAGUUGGGAAGGUAACGGCUUACCAAGGCAACAAUGCGUAGCCGACCUGAGAGAGUGAUCGGCAACAUGGGAACUGGAACACGGUCAAGACUCCUACGGGAGGCAGCAGAAGGGAAUCUUCCGCAAUGGGCGAAAGCCUGACGGAGCAACGCCGCGUGAGUGAUAAAGGUCUUCGGAUCGUAAAACUCUGUUAUUGGGGAAAAACAAAUGUGGAAGGAAAUAUGCACGAAUUGACGGUACCUAAUCAGAAAGCCACGGCUAACUACGUG